RNAcentral lists this ribosomal RNA (1608 nucleotides) under Triticum aestivum (bread wheat). RNAcentral's name for it is "partial small subunit ribosomal RNA". The record is from RNAcentral. Lineage: Eukaryota; Viridiplantae; Streptophyta; Magnoliopsida; Poales; Poaceae.
AUGUGGGGCGCCGCCGACCUGGUGCUGAAGGCGGCGUGCGACGCCUGCGGCAAGGCGUCCGAGCUCUACAGCACCGCCUGCCGCCACGCCACCCUCUGCAACUCCUGCGCCGCCACCAUGGCGCGCUCGCGCGCGCGCUGCAACGUCUGCGCCGCCCCCAUCACCAACGUCAUCCGGGAGUACAAUGUUCGGGUGGAUACCGCCGCGGGGAAGGCCCUUUCCAUAGCCAAAUUCAACACCGGCGUGCCGCCCUUCUCCAAGAUGAAGGGUGCGGGGAACAAGUGGUCUCUUCGUAAGGAUGGCCCGACGCAUGGCCGUCAGCUUACUGCCGAAAUGCGGGAGAAAUACUACAACAGAAAGCCAUGGAUAUUGGAAGAUGAUACAGGUGAACAUCAGUACCAAAGUAAACUUGAGGCAUCACAAUCUGCAACUGCUACAUACUAUCUGCUGAUUAGGCGCGGCAAGGAGUUCGAUGCUGUUCCUGUUGGUUCCUGGUAUAACUUCAGUAAAAUUGCACAGUACAAACAACUGACUUUGGAAGAAGCUGAAGAGAAGAUGAAUAAAAGGAGAAGCAGUGCAACUGGUUAUGAACGAUGGAUGAUGAAGACAGCUACUCAUGGAGCUGCUGCCUUUGGUUCGGAUCUGAAGGAUCUUGGUGAUGCAAAGGGCAAAGCGGCAAAUGGGGUCCAAUCCAAGAAAGAAAGUAGCAAUGAGGAUGGGAAUCACUCUGAUAAAGGCGAGGAGGAUGAAGAAGAGGGAGUUGCAAAGAAAGCUGUGCGCAGACUUUCUACGAGGGGCGUGGAUGAUGAAGAGGAUGGUGGAAAAGAAGACUUUGAUUUGGAGGAUGAGACUGAGAUAGGUGAUGAUUGGGAGCAUGAAGAGACCUUCACUGAUGAUGAUGAGGCUCUGGAUAUUGACCCAGAGGAAAGACCUGACGUAGCUGAUACUGAAAACCCUACUGGACCAGAUAUUAAGCAGGAUGAUGAUGAGAAUGAACAAGGAGCUGGUGGUAGCCUGAGCAAGUCCGGUAAGGAACUAAAAAAGCUGCUCCGCCGUGCUGAUGGACAAAAUGAGUCCGAUGACGAAGACGAUGGAGACACUGAUGAAGAUGAGUCACCAUUGUCAGUACUUGCUCCAAAACUGGAACAUCAAUUCGGAAGCGAACAACAGGAAAAUAACACUGCUAAACUAACAGCAACAGAACUUGCUGUUAGCACUCCACCUGCACCCAGGUCCAAUCAGAAAAGGAAAUCCGGAGGUGAUGGUGCAAAAACUUUGAAUCGUGCAGCGGUAAAAAAGCCAAAGACAGAACCUGAGGCAAAAACAUUAGGUGUCAAGGAAGAGCCACCCUCUUCCGUGGAACCUAUUUCAAAAGCAUCUGCUUCAGCAGGGAGUGGUACAGAUACAUCUGCAAUUACAGAGGAGGAAAUCAUAAGAGUACUUCGUGCAAUUGCUCCUGUCAGAUCACAAGAUUUUGUACCCAGGUUUAAGGCCAGAAUAAGAACUCCAGAGGACAAGAAACAUUUUCAUGACAUUGUCAUGAAAUAUGCAUAUUCGCACAAGACCAACGGCGUCAGCUAUCUUCACCUUCGAAAGGAGUACCAAUGA